GGAUGUAGAGAGAUUGGAUGAUUCUUAGAUGAUUUUGUGGUUGAGGCAUUAGGACUUGUUCAUAGGUGCUAGGAGGCAUGAAAUUUAAUUGAUUAGCAAUGUGGGAUUAAUGGAAGCAAGGAUGGGAUGGCUAAGGUUUUGUCAAUGGAUUUAUAAGAGCACUUAAUGAUGGAGGGUUGAGAUUUAUUAUGGAGAGCAAGGGGAG
This 205-nucleotide long non-coding RNA is filed under the name Elaeis guineensis (African oil palm). Its description in RNAcentral is "long non-coding RNA (EGUI_LNC050534)". Lineage: Eukaryota; Viridiplantae; Streptophyta; Magnoliopsida; Arecales; Arecaceae. The record is from RNAcentral.